This 82-nucleotide transfer RNA is filed under the name Candidatus Pacearchaeota archaeon CG1_02_31_27. RNAcentral describes it as "tRNA-Ser". It matches the Rfam family "tRNA". From Rfam's summary of the family: Transfer RNA (tRNA) molecules are approximately 80 nucleotides in length. Their secondary structure includes four short double-helical elements and three loops (D, anti-codon, and T loops). RNAcentral also lists the same sequence under 2 other names. The record is from RNAcentral. Lineage: Archaea; Nanobdellati.
GCCGCAGUGGCCCAAUGGUAAGGCGCAAGCCUGGAAAGCUUGUUUCCGCAAGGAUAUUCAGGUUCGAUUCCUGGCUGCGGCG